Long non-coding RNA from Anas platyrhynchos (mallard), 441 nucleotides. RefSeq lists it as uncharacterized. The record is from RefSeq and is a predicted model, not a curated record. NCBI's taxonomy places the organism in Eukaryota, Metazoa, Chordata, Aves, Anseriformes, Anatidae.
AUCAGGAAGGUUUCUUACUAUUAUUAGAAUUCGACUAUGGAAUAGAAGCUUAGGAGGGGAGGUGGUAUAGGAUGGGAUUAUGUUGCAUGUCUUCUCCCAGACUGCUUGUUUGCUUUGUUACACUUCCUUGCAAGCAUAUUUUUAGGAGAAGUUGAGUGUACCAGAUGGUACUUUAUCUAGUGCACAUUUUAAAGGACACAAAGUUAGUUGUAGCACUGGUGAAGCCAUCAAAGUGGUGUGACCACAGGUGUAACAAUCAAAAGGGGUAACCCACAUGGUGCAGUUGACUGUCCUCAUUGAAAACAAGAUAAAAUGAUGAAUAGCAGGUUUUGAAACUCAAGUGAAUCUCUACACAGACACACUCUUUCAGAAAUAUAGUAGCCCAAGGCAAGUAUCUGCAGGAGUGUAAUGCAUAUGGAUUCACAGCUUUAGUUCAUAAGA